RNAcentral lists this ribosomal RNA (491 nucleotides) under uncultured bacterium. Its description in RNAcentral is "partial 16S ribosomal RNA". It matches the Rfam family "Bacterial small subunit ribosomal RNA", at positions 29 to 507 of the family's 1533-position model. The record is from RNAcentral.
AUGAACGCUAGCUACAGGCUUAACACCUGCAAGUCGCGGGGAAACGACAUCGAAAGCUUGCUUUUGAUGGGCGUCGACCGGCGCACGGGUGAGUAACGCGUAUCCAACCUGCCCAUCACUUGGGAAUAACCUUGCGAAAGUAAGACUAAUACCCAAUGAUAUCCCACGAAGGCAUCGGAAUGGGAUUAAAGAUUUAUCGGUGAUGGAUGGGGAUGCGUCUGAUUAGCUUGUUGGCGGGGUAACGGCCCACCAAGGCAACGAUCAGUAGGGGUUCUGAGAGGAAGGUCCCCCACAUUGGAACUGAGACACGGUCCAAACUCCUACGGGAGGCAGCAGUGAGGAAUAUUGGGCAAUGGGCGAGAGCCUGAACCAGCCAAGUAGCGUGCAGGAAGACGGCCCUAUGGGUUGUAAACUGCUUUUAUAAGGGAAUAAAGUGGGUCACGUGUGACUUUUUGCAUGUACCUUAUGAAUAAGGACCGGCUAAUUCCGUG